Gossypium hirsutum (cotton) is the source of this 107-nucleotide non-coding RNA. The record is from Rfam. NCBI's taxonomy places the organism in Eukaryota, Viridiplantae, Streptophyta, Magnoliopsida, Malvales, Malvaceae.
AACCCAUGGUAAUGGCAUCUUCUCAAUAAGUCCUUGUCUCUCUCCCAUGCAUCAUAAAGUGUUUCUAAAUCCAUCUGCACAAAAGAAGAGAUAUCAUUCCUUAAUUU